GCUGCUGGCAGUGUGGGUAGCUCAGUUGGUUAGGGCAUGGUGCUGAUAACACCAAGGUUGCAGGUUCGAUCCCUGCAUGGGGCAGCUGCA
Molecule: transfer RNA, 90 nt
Filed under: Podarcis lilfordi (Lilford's wall lizard)
Lineage: Eukaryota; Metazoa; Chordata; Lepidosauria; Squamata; Lacertidae
Description: tRNA.Ile
Rfam family: tRNA (bases 18-76)
About the family: Transfer RNA (tRNA) molecules are approximately 80 nucleotides in length.
Source: RNAcentral